CGCAGAGCGGAUUGCGCCGCGGCGCUUUGGAGCGCGAGGGGCGACCUCGCCGGUCCGCGCGCCCACGGAAGCGUCGGUCGCGGCGACGUUGUUGCGGCUCUCUGCACCCCCUGACCCACUAUCGGCGAGUAGGGCUGCACGGGGCGCAAUGGUGACGCGGGUCUGCGCGUCACCGGGGUGCGCAGUGGGGACGGCACCCUAGAGGCGCCGCCGGCGCGCAGGGGCGAUGACGGCAAGAAUGUCUGUGGCGACAAGGCGAUGCCACCGCGCCUGGGUGGGAGGGCCUGUGUCAAGGCCGUUGCACGCGGUUCGAUGCGCGGCGGCGGUGCCGGUUGCGUGCCGUCGGCCGUGACAAAUGCAUUGAGCGCGUCGGGCGGGAGCGAUGCCACAUAGGGCGCGAUCGUACCGUCGGACGACUGGCGCACGCCGUGCAGCGCCACAUAGUGGCUGCCCACAUAAAGCACGGCCAGGCAGUCGGCGCGAUAGUCACGACGCACAGGAAGGCCCGUGGCGGGAUCGAUCGCCGGCCGACUGGGCACGGCCUGUGGCACGAGCGCCGUCGCCUGCGCCGGAUCGAUAUAGUUAAAGAUGACCACGCCGCGCACCGAACCGAGGGCGGGCGAGCCGGCAUCGGGCAAGAGGAUCGAGGCAAAGGCAUAGGCCUCGGCGGCGCCGCCCCACCUCACAGACUGGCGCAUGACGUUGCAAUAGGCGCGGUAGGCCGCGUCGACAUCGCUGCCGGCGGCGAGCGCCGCCACAUAUUCGGCACUCGAGUCCUGGAGCAUGAGCGCGAGGUCGACGCCCACCGUGGCGGCCUCUUGGCAGUCGUGAAAGAGGAUGGUCUUGUCGGCGGGGAGCACGCGUUGCGGCCCGGCGGCGUCCCAGGGCACGGCCAGGAGCGGCAGCGCGUACGGGCGCACAUCGGCCCACGAGAGGGUCUGACGACCGCCGACCAUCGUGGUGGCCAACGCCUCGUAGAGCCACACGACGUAGCGCACAACGAGAUCGAGCGUGGGCGGCCUAUAGAUGACGACCGUGACCUCGUCGUCAUCAUCAUCAUCAUCACCACUACCGCCAUCGCCGCCUCGUGCAGAUUCGCCCAUGAUCCGCUGGGCGGCGUCGGGUGCCACCAUCUCGUCGAUCGAUGUGAUCGGCCGUAUGCGCGCCAUGCCCGACACGCCACCUACGUAGGUGACGGCACCGGGCGGGAUGUCGUCGCUGCACAUGACCAAAUAGACAUAAAACUUGACCCAUUUGGCGACGCCGUUGAGGAGCAGCGCGAGGGCGUCGUUGGGCGGGCCGCCGACGCGCACCAGGCCACUAUAGUCCUCGGUGGCCCAUGCGUUGUUCACACCCGACUGGACGUCGCGCGAAAAAGUGGCGCCACGGCCGAGGUUGAUACCGGUGAGACGCUGCACGAGCGCGCUCGCGAUCGAGCGGUAAAAGCAGGCACCGUCGCCAUUGAUCUCCUGCAGAUAGUAUUGGAGCGGCGGCGCAUCGGGUCCGGCGGCCACGCGCGGCGACUGCUGCAAAAAGAGGGCCUCGUUGGCGGCCGUGACCAGGCGCACACGCCCCACAUCGGCCGCGUAGCGGUUGAGCGCGCUGCGCUCGCUGCUGACUUGGGCCUCGGCGGCGACGAGCGCCGCGCGAAAUUCCUCGCCCGGCUGUUGGGUCAAGGGCGAGGCCGCGCACCGCCACAGCCGACGCGCCCACGCAAGGGCCUCGCUAUAUGGGUCAGCGGCAUUGGCAAAGGCGUCGGGCCAGCGCGCGAUGAGCGUGGCAGUGAUGGUAUCAGCGUCGGCCGGCACAAAGCGCGCGGCGCGCACGUCGGGGUCGCCGGGUCCGCUCACGGUGCGUCCGGCGGCAUCGACAAACUCAAAGUGUCCGAGGAUUUCGCCCACGCGGCGCAAGAACGUCGCCCGCGACCAGAGACUCUGGCGCUCGGCAGCCGACAGCGUGGCCGUGAUGGCGCCACUGAGGCCCAAGGCGCCAUAGAGGGCGUCGCAGUCUGUUUGCGUAGGCGCGGGAACACUGCCGUCGGCCGCGAGGACC
Molecule: long non-coding RNA, 2052 nt
Filed under: Pandoravirus celtis
Description: hypothetical ncRNA
Source: RNAcentral